Molecule: ribosomal RNA, 231 nt
Filed under: uncultured bacterium
Lineage: Bacteria
Description: partial 16S ribosomal RNA
Rfam family: Bacterial small subunit ribosomal RNA
Source: RNAcentral
CGGACGGGUGAGUAAUGUCUGGGAAACUGCCUGAUGGAGGGGGAUAACUACUGGAAACGGUAGCUAAUACCGCAUAACGUCGCAAGACCAAAGAGGGGGACCUUCGGGCCUCUUGCCAUCGGAUGUGCCCAGAUGGGAUUAGCUAGUAGGUGGGGUAACGGCUCACCUAGGCGACGAUCCCUAGCUGGUCUGAGAGGAUGACCAGCCACACUGAACUGAGACACGGUCCAG